UACGUAGGGUGCAAGCGUUGUCCGGAAUUAUUGGGCGUAAAGAGCUCGUAGGCGGUUUGUCACGUCUGCUGUGAAAACGCGAGGCUCAACCUCGCGCCUGCAGUGGGUACGGGCAAACUAGAGUGCGGUAGGGGAGAUUGGAAUUCCUGGUGUAGCGGUGGAAUGCGCAGAUAUCAGGAGGAACACCAAUGGCGAAGGCAGAUCUCUGGGCCGUAACUGACGCUGAGGAGCGAAAGCGUGGGGAGCGAACAGG
This 253-nucleotide ribosomal RNA is filed under the name uncultured bacterium. RNAcentral describes it as "partial 16S ribosomal RNA". It matches the Rfam family "Bacterial small subunit ribosomal RNA", at positions 524 to 776 of the family's 1533-position model. The record is from RNAcentral.